GGAGAGUGACUGUUUAUAAAGCAGCAGGGGACUGAUGCUGGACAGGUUGGAGAAUGACGCAAGUUUUGGCUGAACUCCACAGAGGACUUCACAGUGUGAUGCGGUACUCCUUAUAAUUUGGUAAGAUCACCAGUCCAGGAAAUGGAAUGACCAUAGUUAGCCUGGAUCGAUCAGCAUUCACCCCACGUAGCAGGGGGGAGUCCGAGCCUGCCCUGAAAACAAGGAAGAAUGACUUGAGGUGGAAUUUAUUGUGUCUGUAUCCUGAUAAUGCUAUAGAUUUAGAGGUACUAUUUCGUGGAGCAUCACACAGGAAUAGCCUGAAGACACUACACAGCAGGUAAGUUUGGGUUCAGAUGACAAUUUGGUCUACAGAUUCACGUCAUAUAGAGGCAGUAAGCUGUGUUUUCU
This 408-nucleotide long non-coding RNA is filed under the name Equus caballus (horse). RNAcentral describes it as "lncRNA (ENSECAG00000057014.1)". The record is from RNAcentral. Lineage: Eukaryota; Metazoa; Chordata; Mammalia; Perissodactyla; Equidae.